Long non-coding RNA from Momordica charantia (bitter melon), 938 nucleotides. RefSeq lists it as uncharacterized. Lineage: Eukaryota; Viridiplantae; Streptophyta; Magnoliopsida; Cucurbitales; Cucurbitaceae. The record is from RefSeq and is a predicted model, not a curated record.
CACAGACCUGCUAGGUUUCUCGUCAGCGGCUCUACACAUUCUCCUCCAAAUCUCAGUCCUCUUCCAUCAAAGAGAAAUCUAAAGAAGAGACAAAAUUCACUAAGUAGACAAGCACGUUGAGGGAGACGAGAAGACGAUAGCUAGCGAUCAAAGUUAGGAAGAAAGGGAGGAGACGGAAAGUAUUGCAAGGGAGACAAAAAUCAAGUGGGGCAAAGCAACGAGUGGUUGUAACUUGCAAGUGGGGCGACAGGCGGCAGAGUGACAGAGAUAGAAGAGAGAACUUUUUGGUUCUGAGCUUCCCCACGCCACUUGUCACCGCGUAAUUGGAUUCAAAAUUCCAGUGGGGUCCACGCGGCUUCAGGCCCACUCUAUAAAUAAGCUCCGCAAGAGACGCCCUAAUUUCACCGUUUCAGUAUCAGACAUCACAGAUUCUUCUAUAAAGCUUCCUCUCUCUCGCUCUCCAUUUCUUCAAUCCAUCUUCAAUGGCGAUCUCCGGCCCUUCCAAGAUGUUCGCCGUGCUAUUCCUCGCCGUCGCUGCGAUCCUCUUCGCCGUCGCCUCCGCACAGGAAUCACCGGCGCCGGCUCCGGCUCCGCAGCUCGACAGAGGAGCGGCGGCUCUGCCUGCCGCCGCCUCCAUGGCUCUGCUCUGCGCUUCCUUCUUCCUCUCUCUCCCUGCCAUUUUGAAGCCCUAAAUCGCCGUCCAUCGUUUCGCUCUCGAAUGAUUCUCUACACACAGAGAUAUAUAUAUACUCGUGGAAUUUCUCACGUUUUUAUUUAGAUAUUGAUCUUUAAUUUAUUUGAUAGAAAAAUAAAAGGAGAUGCUAUAAUCUCUAUCUUUAGGUUUAUUUGUUCAUGAUUAGUCUGUAACUUUUUGUGAAAAGUAUUUGUUGUAUGAUUUAUCAUCAUUAUCAUUAUUAUUAUUAGUGUGAUUUUAUGAA